This 384-nucleotide ribosomal RNA is filed under the name uncultured Pseudomonadota bacterium. RNAcentral describes it as "uncultured proteobacterium partial 16S ribosomal RNA". The record is from RNAcentral. Lineage: Bacteria; Pseudomonadati; Pseudomonadota.
GCGGCAUGCUGAUCCGCGAUUACUAGCGAUUCCAACUUCAUGCACUCGAGUUGCAGAGUACAAUCCGAACUGAGACGACUUUUAAGGAUUGGCUCCCCCUCGCGGGAUUGCUGCCCUCUGUAGUCGCCAUUGUAGCACGUGUGUAGCCCACCUUGUAAGGGCCAUGAGGACUUGACGUCAUCCCCACCUUCCUCCGGCUUACCACCGGCAGUCCUGCUAGAGUGCCCAGCUUAACCUGAUGGCAACUAACAGCGAGGGUUGCGCUCGUUGCGGGACUUAACCCAACAUCUCACGACACGAGCUGACGACAGCCAUGCAGCACCUGUGUCCCUGUCCCCGAAGGGAAAACCACAUCUCUGUGGCGAUCAAGGCAUGUCAAAAGGU